AGAGUUUGAUCGUGGCUCAGAAUCAACGCUGGCGGCGUGCCUAACACAUGCAAGUCGAACGCGAAAGGGGCUUCGGCCCUGAGUAGAGUGGCGAACGGGUGAGUAACACGUGGGUGAUCUACCUUCGAGUGGGGGAUAACGUCCCGAAAGGGACGCUAAUACCGCAUGACGUUCCGGGUUUGAAGACCUGGAAACCAAAGCCGGGGACCGCAAGGCCUGGCGCUUGAAGAGGAGCCCGCGUCCGAUUAGCUAGUUGGCGGGGUAAUGGCCCACCAAGGCGACGAUCGGUAGCCGGCCUGAGAGGGCGGACGGCCACACUGGAACUGAGACACGGUCCAGACUCCUACGGGAGGCAGCAGUGGGGAAUUGUUCACAAUGGGCGCAAGCCUGAUGACGCAACGCCGCGUGGGGGAUGAAGGUCUUCGGAUUGUAAACCCCUGUCGAAUGGGACGAAUGGCCUCUGGGCUAAUCACCAGAGGAAUGACGGUACCGUUAAAGGAAGCCACGGCUAACUCUGUGCCAGCAGCCGCCGUAAU
RNAcentral lists this ribosomal RNA (536 nucleotides) under uncultured Acidobacteriota bacterium. Its description in RNAcentral is "bacterial SSU rRNA". It matches the Rfam family "Bacterial small subunit ribosomal RNA", at positions 8 to 524 of the family's 1533-position model. Lineage: Bacteria; Pseudomonadati; Acidobacteriota. The record is from RNAcentral.